GCACGCCCCACUGCGGGCCCCCAGCUCAGCCAUGCUGGCCUGUCUGCAGAGGACCCAGAAUCCACCGGGCCAACACCUGGCCUGCCCAAGCAAGAGCCUGGAGCUACGCAAGUAAAGCAGUCAGUGCUUACACCACAGUUCCGCCCAUCACCCGAAGUUCGCCCUCUAGCAUAUUGCUCAAGAAGGUCUCGUGGGCAAAAAGGCCACAUAAGCUGGAGAUUCCAUCAGCCUGAGACCAGAAGAACUAGAUGGUGCCCGGCUACCACCAAUGACCACCCUGACAGGGAACACAACAGAGACUCCCUGACGGAGCAGGAGAAAAGUGGGGUACAGAACUCAAAGUCACAUAAAAAGACCAGAACUUAAUGGUCUGAGACUAAAGGAACCCCAGAGGACAUGGCCCCAGGACUCUUUGUUAACCCAGAACUGUGACCACUCCCGAAGUCAACUCUUCAGACAAAGGUGCCACGGACCCCUGCUUUGCCCCUGCUGCCAGCUGGCAGGGACUAGGCCCAAUGACCUGGGCUGGCCCUUCCUUCUGCUCCAGGGUGGAACUAGGCUCUCUGCCCUGAGAGUACAGAGGGCCACCAAGGACAUCCUGCGUCCUCUGCCCACUCACAUCUUUUGACAUCCCGGCACUUAUUGGAAAAGACACUGACUCUGCCUGUAAUUGAAGAGCUCAGGAAAGAGGGAGGCAGGAAGGGAGAUAAGCAAAUUGAAUUGGGCAUCCUGCCGCCAGUCAAUGCCUGGACACCAGCCGGGGGGCCCCUGCCCUUUCCUCCUGGGCACAACUCCUGGGUGACCAGGCCCUCAGUCUCUCCUCUUGUCUCCAUGCCCCAAGGCAGGACCAAGACAGGAAGGGCUGGCCGUGAGACACAUGACCAGACCUUGGGCCACACUGCACUUCUCAUGAAGGGGGAGAGGUCCUGCUUAGGCCACGUGCAGUGUGGCGUUUCGGGUCCUGUGUCCUCUUCCUGCAAAGCAAGGGGUCAGAUCAGAUGGACCAAAGAAGCCAUCCAGCUCUGGUCCUUUGUGAUGACAGUGAGACCCCUCCCUCCUUUUUCUGACCUCAGUGUCAUCAGCUGUAAAACGGGUUCAGGGUAGCCUGACGUCCGUCAUAGGGCUGUACUGAGAACUGGCUGCAGGUCACCUCUCUGGGACCCAGGGGCAGGCCUGGUACAGCAGGUAGGGUACGGCCAGCUGUGUGUCCAGGAGUCUGGCUAGCCUGUUCCAGGCAACAAAAGGAGAAAGGACUAGGGGAGGGAGUCCACCCCCUCCCCACCUCAGAUCUCAGGCUGUUCUCAUCUGGCCAGAGCCCCGAAUCCCACACAGGACCUGCCCACCCUGGGACAGAAGCCUGUUUAUCUCAGCUGCUCAGGACCUUCCUCCCUAAUAAAUAUUUGACUUUCUCAGCAUGGUGUUGAUAUACAAACUUUGAGUCACGCGCUGCUAAAAAUACAGGCCUGCAGAGAGCCCCAGAGAGGCGCCGUGGGGGCCUGCCACCCUGCAGGACCCUUUGUAAGUGAGCCUGCUUUCCCCCUAUGAGCCCCCAGGGUGCCGGCUUUGGGGCUAAAGUGGAUCUAGGGGGGGAAACCCUGGCUGUGCCCUGAGUGGGUGUGGGUGUGUGUGUGGUCUUGGGCAAGUAAGUGACCGCCCCUCUUGGGGCCUCAGUUUCCUUCCCUGUGACAUGGAGAUAAGGCAAGGAGAGAACCCCUCAGGGCCUGCCAGCUGACUCAAACACUCCACCUGCCCCCACACCCAAGGACACCAGAGGCUCCCUGCCUGUCUCUCUCAUUUUGCUGAGCUGCACCUUUCAAGGGCUCGGCCUAUCACCUACCCCGGAAGAUCAGGGUCAGCUCUUCUCCCCGCCCCCACCCAGCAGGACCCCAGACCCUGAAAGCCUGGAGCCACUGGCCAGCAAGCCACAGACAGACAGCCGGCAGCCCCUGAGAGCACUCCUGCAGGUGCCACCUCGGCUGACACUAAUAAAAUACAGAAGAAACAAAGCAACUGAAAAUUCCAAUACAAUUCAAAACAAAUCUCAGGCCGUGGAGCAGAUUCAAUUAUACAGCUGUUGUUCACCGCAGCCUGCAGGAGGGAAGGUCAGCUGCCUCCCCUGCUGCCGGUCCCCGGGUCCCCGGGGAGAGGACAGAGGCAGGCUCCUAGAUAAAGUGGUGGGGAGAGGGCCAGACAGGUUUAGCCCCCUUUAACGAUUUAAAGACCAAAAAUAAGCUCUUAGCAAACCAGGAACUGAGGCAACUUCCUUAAUCUAUUACAGACCAUCCAAUCACAAUCCACAACAAAGAAGCCCAAUGGUUGCAAAAAUCAGAGGAAGACAAAGAUCCAAAUUACUGCUUCUUUUCCACACUGUACAGAGGGUGUAGCUAGCAUAGUGAGAUGGGAAAAUUAAAAGUAUAAGGACUGGAAAGGAAUAAAACUGCAUGGAAAACCCAAGAGGAUGCGCAGCAAAUUAUUAGGAUAAGAGUUCAGCAAGAUGGGGGGUGUAAGAUCAUAUAUUUCAUAGUAGCUUUUGCUGGUGUUAUUAGCUGCCACCAGUCCACCACCGAAUCACGGUGACUCCAUGUACAGUGGAGUGAAACGCUGCCCGGUCCUGUGCCAUCCCCAUGAUCAGUUGUGGAUCGGACUGUUGUGAUCCAGAUGGUUUUCACUGGCUGAUUUUCAGAAGCAGAUCACCAGGCCUUUCUUCCUUGUCCAUCUUAGUCUGGAAGUUCCGCUGAAACCUGUUCAGCAUCAUAGCAACACACAGGCCUUGGCCACGAAGCAAACUUGGGUCUCCUGUAUGGAAGGCGAGAAUUCUACCACGGAACCACCACUGCCCCCUGGUAACAGCUUUAUUGAGGCAUAAUUCACAUGCCAUAGAAUUCACCCAUUUCAAGUGUAUAAUUCAAUGGUUUUAGUAUAUUCACAGAGUUGUACAAUCAUCACAGUCAAUUUUAGGAUCAUUUCAUCACCCCCAAAAGGAAGCCUGUACUUUUUUGGCUGUAAUUUUUUUAUUUUUUUGAAACCCUGGUGGCGUAGUAGAUAAGUGCUGCGGCUGCUAACCAAAGGGUCGGCAGUUCGAAUCCUCCAGGCGCUCCUUGAAAACUCUAUGGCGCAGUUCUACUCUGUCCUAUAGGAUCGCUAUGAGUCGGAAUUGACUCGACAGCACUAGGUUUGGUUUGGUUUUGGCUAGAUGAACGUUUACAGAACAAACUAGCUUCUCAUUAAACAGUUAGUACACAUAUUGUUUUGUGACACUGGCUGCCAACUCCACAUGUCAACACUCCCCCUUCUCAACCUUCGGUUCCCUGUUACCAGCUCUCCUGUCUCCUUUUGCCUUCUAGUCCUUGCCCCUGGGCUGGUGUGCCCCUUUAGUCUCGUUUUAUUUUAUGGGCCUGUCUAAUCUUUGGCUGAAGGGUAAACCACAGGAGUAACUUUAUUACUGAGCUAAAAAGGUGUCCGGGGGCCAUACUCCUGGGGUUUCUCUAGUUUGUGUCAGACCAAUAAGUCUGGUCUUUUUUUGUGUGUAAGAAUUUUGUUUUAUAUUUUUCUCCAGCACUGUCCGGGACCCUCUAUUGUGAUCCCUGUCAGAGCAGUCGGUGGUGAUAGCCAGGCAUCACGUAGUUGUUCUGGACUCAGUUUGGUGGAGGCUGUGGUAGUUGUGGUCCAUUAGUCCUUUGGACUGACCUUUCCAUGUCUUUGAUUUUCUUCAUUCUCCCUUGCUCCCAAAGGGGUGAGAACAGUGGAGUAUUCUAGAUGGCUGUUUACAGGGAAAGCCUGUACUCUUUAGCCAUCACCUCCCCAAUUCCCCAUCCCCACCAACCCUAAACAACCACUGAUCUACUUUCUGCCCCUAUAGAUUUGCCUGUUCUGGACAUUUCAUAUAAAUGGAAUUGUACAUACAGUAUGUGGUCUUUUGUGACUUGUUUCUUUCACUUAGCAUAAUAUUUUUCUUCCUAGUAUUUUCAAGGUUCAUGCAUGCUGUAGCGUAUAUCAGUACUUCAUCCCUUUAUAUUGCUGAAUAAUAAUCCAUUGUAUGGAAAUAGCAUGUUUUAAUCAUUUGUCAGUGGCUCAUUCAAAAGUGGUUAGUUCUACUUUUUUGACCACUGUGAAUAAUACUGCUAUGAAUAUUUGUAUACAAGUUUUUUUGUGGACAUGUUUUAAUUUCUCUUGGUUAUAUAUAUAGGGGAAUAAUCACUGGAUCAUGGUAACUUCAUGUUUAACUUCUUGAGGAACUGCCAAGCUUUUCCAAAGAGGCUGCACCAUUUUACAUUCCCACUAGCAGGGGAUGAGGGUUCUAAUUUCUCCACAUACUUGCCACCAUUUGUUAUUAUCUAUUUGAUUAUGGCUUGGAAAACUUGGUGGUGUAGUGGUUAAGAGUUUGGCUGCUAACCAAAAAGUCACCAGUUCAAAUCAACCAGGCACUCCUUGGAAACCCUGUGGGGCAGUUCUACCCUGCCCUAUAGGGUCACUAUGAGUCAUAAUCGACUGGAUGGCAACGGGUUGUUUUGUUCUUUAUCCUAGUGGCCCUUGGGUGGCGAAAGUGGUUUGCACUCAGCUAUUAACCCAAAGGCUGUAUUGAGGAAGAAAGGCCUGCCAAUCCAUUCCAUAAAGAUUACAGCCGAGAAAACCCUAUGGAGCAGUUUUACUCAUGGGGUCACUAUGAGCCGGAAUCGACUUGAUGAUAAUGGAUUUAGUGGGUAUAAAGUGGUAUUGCAUUAUAGUCUUGAUUUGCAUUUUCCCUAAUGACUAAUGAUACUGAACAUCUUUCCAUGUGCUUACUGGCCAUUUGUGGUAAUUCUGUUAUAGCAGCACUAGAUAAUUAAGACAGCACCCUUGUCAAAAAUCAGUUGGGCAUAGAUGCAUGGGCUUAUUUCUGGAUUCUCAGUUCUGUCUCAUUGAUUUCUAUGUCUAUCCUCAGGCCAGUACUACAGCUAAGUUUUGUAAUUGGAAAGUGCAAGCCUUCCAACUCUGUCCUUUUUUAAGAUUAUAUUGGCUGGGUCCAUGAAUUUCAGAAUCAGUUAGUCAAUUUUUGCAAAGAAGCCAUCUGGAAUUUUAAUGAUAGAUUGUGUUGAAUCUGUAGCUCAGCAUUAAAGACUUACUAUUAAGUCUUUUGAUCCAUGAACAUGUAAUAAUUGUAAUAGUUUUUUUAGUGGCUUUCUUAGGAUUUUCUAUGGAAAAGAUUAAAAGAUACUUCUUCCUUUCCAGUAUGAUUUUUUUUUUUUCUUGUCUAAUUGCCCUGGCUAGAACCUUUGGUACAUGUCAAACAGAAGUGGCAAGAUCAGGCAUCUUUAUCUCGUUCCUGAUCUUACUAAAAAGAAAUUAAAGAAGACCUAAAUAAAUGGGAGGAUAUCCCAUGUUCAUGGAUUGAAGACUUAAUAUAGUUGUCAGUACUACCUAAAGCAAUCUAUAAAUUCAAUGCAAUCACCAUCAAAAUUCCAACAGCCUUCUUUGCAGAAAUAGAAAAGCCAAUCCUCAAUUUUAUAUAGAAGGGCAGGGGACCCUGAUAGCUAAACCAAAUCUGAAGAAGAAUAAAAGUAGGACUCACACUUCUGGUUUCAAAACACACUACAAAGCUACAGUAAUUAAAACAGCCUGGAACUGGUACAGUAUUAGACAUAUAGACCAAUUGAAUAGAAUUGUCAGUCCAGAAAUAAAUCCACACAUCUACGAUCAACUGAUUUUUGACAAGGUGCUAAGACCAUUCAAUGGGGGAAGAGUCUCUUCAGUAAAUGGUGCUGGGAAAAUUGAAUUUCCACAUGCAAAAGAAUGAAACAGGAUCCAUGCCUCAUACCAUACACAAAAACCAGUUCAAAAUGGAUCAAGGACCUAAAUGUGGAAACAAAAACUAUAGAAUUCUUAGAAGAAAUUAUAGGAGUGUGGCUGUAGGCCUAGUUUUUUAACAGUGGAUUAUCAGGUGUCUCAGUCAUCUAGUGCUGCUGUAACAGAAAUACUACAAUGGAUGGCUUUAACAAAGAGAAAUGUAUUCUCUUACAGUCUAGUAGGCUACAAGUUCAAAUUCAGGACAUCAGCUCCAGGUGAAAGUUUUCUUUCUCUGUCAGCUCUGGAGAAAGGUCCUUGUCCUCAAUCUUCCCCUGGUCAGAGCCUCUCAUGCACAGGGACCUCAGGUCCAAACGACACGCUGUGUUCCUGGUGUUGCUUUCUUGGCGGUAUGGCAUCCCCUUGUCUCCCUGCUCGCUUCUCUCUUUUAUAUCUCAAAAAAAUUGGCUUAAGACACUAUCUAAUCUUGUAGAUCUCAUCAGUAUAACUGCCACUAAUCCAUCUCAUUAACAUCAUAGUGAUUGAAUUUACAACACAUGGGGAAAUCACAUCAGAAGACAAAAUGGUAGACAAUCACACAAUACUGGGAAUCAUGGCCUAGCCAAGUUGCCAGAUAUUUUGGGGGGACACAGUUCAAUCCAUGCCAUCAGGUUUGACGACAACAAGCGCAAGCAGCAAAAGUCAAAAUAGAUAAAUGGUACCACAUAAAAGUUAAAACCAAAGUUCAUCAAAGACAUUAGCAAAAAAUUAAAAAGACAAUCCACAGAUUGGGAGAAAAUUUGGGGGAACCAUAUAUCUGAUGAGGGUCUAAUCUAAAAUAUAUUUUAAAAACUUGUACAACAACGAAAAGACAAAUAACCCAAUCAAAAAAUGGGCAAAGGACUUGGACAGUUCACCAAGGAGAAUAUUCAAAUAGCCAACAAGCACAUGAAAAGAUUAUUUAGCCGUUAAUAACCAAACCAAACCCAAUGCCAUCAAUACUGACUCAUAGCAACCCUAUAGGACAGAGUAGAACUGCCCCAUAGAGUUUCUAAGGAGCGGCUGGUGGAUUUGAACUACUGACCUUUUGGUUAGCAGCCAAACUCUUAACCACUGCGCCCCCAGAGUUCCUAGAACCACCAUGUGAACCGGCAAUCCCAAUGCCAGGAAUAUACCCAGAACUGAAGGCAGGAAUACAAACAGAAACCUGUACACCAGUGUUCACUGCAGCACUUUUCACAACAGCCAAGAGGUGGAAACAACCCAAAUGUCCAUCAAGAGAUGAAUGGAUAUAUUCACACAAUGGAAUACUGCUCAGCGUAAAGAAUGAAGUCUUGAUGCAUGCCACAACAUGGAUGAACCCUGAAAACAUGCUGAGCGAAAUAAGCCAUUGGCAAAAGGACAAAUACUGUAUGAUCUCACAUGAAAUAAGCAAAUAUAUAAAAGGAAGGGAGGGGAAAGGUGGAGUUUUUGCUUAGGGACGGCGAGUUUACGUUAACGGUGGUCGGAUGGUUUGGAAUAAGACAGAAUGGUUUCACAACUUGAAGAAUGCAAUCAAAGUCACUGAAUUGUACGUGUAGAAACUGUUGAGGUGGCAUGUUUCGUUAUGUAUAUUUUCACCACAAUUUUUAUUAUUGUGCUUUAGGCGGAAGUUUACAGCUCCAGUUAAUUUCUCAUACCAAAACGUAUACACAUAUUGUUAUGUGACAUUAGUUGCAAUCCCUAUAAUGUGACAGCACCUUCCCCCUUUCCACCCUGGGCUUCCUGCGUCCAUUCAGUCAGCUCCUGUCCUUUCCUGCCUUCUCAUCCUGCCUUCGGACAGGAGCCACCCAUUUGGUCUUGUGUAUCUGCUUGAACUAAGAAGCACACUCUUCACAAGUACUGCUUUAUGUUUGAUAGUCCAGUCUAAUCUUUGUCUGAAGAGUUCACCACAAUUUUUUUUUUUUAAUUUAAACUGUAGCUCACCAAGCAAUUUUGAGCAAGAACAAAGGAAGACUCACUUCCUGAUUUCAAAACAUACUACAUAGCUACAGUGGUCAAAACAGUCUGGUGCUGGUACACUAAUAGACACAUAGACGGAUGGAAUAGAAUUGAGAGUCCAGAAAUAAACCCAUACAUCUAUGGUCAACUGGUUUUAACACGGGCACUAAGUCCAUUCAGUGUGGAAAAAAGAGUCUGUUUAGUUAAUGGUGUAGAGACAACUGGGUCUCCACAUGCUGGAUCAAGCUGGACUCAUAUCUCAUACUGUACCCGGAAAUUAACUGAAAAUGGAUCAAGGACCUAGGCGAAAGAAAUAUAACCAUAAAAUUCCUAGAAGAAAACACAGGAGUAUGGCUCUGGGACCUCUUUUUAACAGUGGAUUCUUAGAUUUGACACCAGAACCACUAACAACAAAAGACCAGAUAUUUUGGACUUAAUAAAAAUUAAGAAUUUUUGUUCGCCAAAAGACUUUCACAACAAAGUAAAGAGACAGCCCACAGAACGGGAGAAUACUUUCGGGAACCAUAUAUGGGAUAAGGAUUUAAUAUACAGAAUAUACAAAGAACUCCUACAACUUAACAACAAAAAGAUAAGCAAACCAUUCAAGAACUGGGCAAAGGACUUGAACAGACAUGCACUAAAAAAGACAUACUAAUGGCUAAAAAGCACAUAAAAAGAUGCUCAGCAUCAUUAGCUAUUAAAAAAAAAAAAACCCACGGCCAUCAAUUCUGACUCAUAGUGACCCUAUAGGACAGGGUAGAACGACUGUGUGGCAUUUCCAAGGAGCAUCUGGCAGAUUUGAACUGCUGACCCUUUAGUUAGCAGCCGUAGCACUAAACCACUACGCCACCAGGGUUUCCCGUUAGCUAUUAGAGAGACACAAAUCAGAACCACAAUGACCUACCACUUCACUCCCACUAGGAUGGCUAAGAUUUAAAAAAUGGAAAACAACAAAAAUUGGCGAGGGUGUGGAGAAGCUGGAACCCUUACACAUUGCUGGUGAGAAUGGAAAAUGUUACAGCUACUGUGGAAAAGUUUGACAAUUCCUCAAAAAGUCAUAGUGCUAUUAAGUGACCCAGGAAUUCCACUCCUAGGUAUGUACCCAAGAGAGUUGAAAGCAGCAACACAAACAGAAACCUGUCCACCAGUGUUCACUGCAGCCCUAUUCACAAGAGCCAAAAGGUGUAAACAACCUAAAUGUCUAUCAACAGAUGAAUGGAUAAACAAAACGUGGUACGUACAUACGAUGGAAUAUUACUCAGCCACGAAGAGAGAUGAAGUCCUGAUACACACCACAACAAGAUGAACCUUGAAAAAAUUAUGCUGAGUGAAAUAGGUCAAUCACAAAGGGACAAAUACUAUAUGGUCUCACAUAUAUGAAAUCAUAACAGUAGGCAAAUAUAAACAGAACAAAGUUUCUUAGUGGUUAUGGGGGAAUGGGGAGCCACUAUUUAGGAAGCAGUGAAUUUCUGUUUAGGGUGAUGGGAAAUCUGGCAGCAAUUAUGGGCGAUACUUGUACAACGUUAUUAAUGCCAUUGAUAGCACUAAAAUGUACACCUGAAAACUGCUGAAUUGGCAAAUGUUGUGUAAUAUGUUUUUACAAUUAAAAAAAAAAAACUGGCUCAACAAAAUGCACCACAUACGACAAGACAAGCCACACAGAGGGUCUGCGGCACUUAGAGGGGACCUUUAUCCAGGAGAGAGAGACAUGAAUGAGGCUGCAGAAAAAUAGGUGUGGGGAUGGGCAGGGAGCCAGUGACAGGGGCAGGGUGGUGGGGGGCUCAGAGAGUGAUGGCUGGAGGCAAAGAUUGGGUUGCAGAGGGUGGAGAUAGAUGAAUGAGACCCACACGGAUGUGGACAGAGACAGACAGCAAGAAAGAGGGUAUGGCACUUUCAAAGGACAAAGAGGGCCACGGUGAGGACAGACGGACAGGCAGCAAUGCCACAAGCUCGUGAGAUGGAGACACAGACAAAGCCAAGGGCCAGGAUGGAAGAGAGAGGAGUGAGCUCCUAGAGGGAGCAACACAGGCAAGAGAAACUGAGGCAGGUUCUGAUAAGGAAUGAGUAUGAUAAGGAAUGAGUAAGGUACUCCCAGCCCCACCUACAGGGACCAUUUGGCUACUCAGGGGUCCAGCCCGGGCUGAAGGGGACUGUCUUGGGGGCUGGGGGAGGGGACUGGGAGCCAUGUAUGGCUACACACAUGUGCCUCUGCCUAAGAGCACCUGCCCAUCUGUGCGUGCAGGGUGUCCCUGAGUGUCUGGGCACAUGUAGCUCCACACGUGUGCCCCUAAGCAUGUAUGUGUGUGAGCAUGCAUAUGUGUGAAUGCACACGUGUUCAGAGAAUAAGAGAGGGUCCUUUGUGCAGUGCCUAGUACUGUACUACCCGCUAUGCUUCACUGCCUCAUCUGGCCCAGAAAGACCUGUUAGGAAGGCGGCCAGCCUUUUCUGAUCACCUACUGUGAGCCCACAAGGAGCCCUGGUGGCGCAGUGGUUAAAGCGAUUGGCUGCUAACCAAAAGACCGGCGGUUCAAAACCACCAGUGGCAGUAGGUUUGGUUUUUUUGGUUUUUUACUCUGUGAGCCCACAACAACGGGCUCACACAUACCUAGCAAUCAUGACGAUGGCACAGAAGUGGGCAAGGUUUCGUUCUGCUAUACGUUAAGGUUGCCAUGAGCCGCAACUGACUCAAGAGCACCUAACAGCAACUACGCACAAGCCCUUUGAGCUGUAUUCUCUAAUUUAACCCUCAAGCUCACCCCCAUCUUGGGGGAAACAGAGGCAGGGAGCUGGAGUCACUUGCCUGAGGUCACCCAGCUGGUAACUGGGGUACCUUGAUUCAUACUGGGUCUGACCCCAAAGCCCCUUAGGCUGCCACCCAGGUCGUGGGGGCAGGGCAAGGUCCCUGGGACAGCCCAGGAAGGGGCUGAGCAGCCUUCCCCCACCCUCCACGCCCCUUCCAUGCCAGAGAACAGCUGUGCCUGCCCUGGCCUGGCUGCCUUCCCCCACCCCCUCUUCUGGGCGGUCUCAUUAGGGAUUCUGCUGGUGCCACCAGCUAAUUAGUGUCACAUUAAUUGAGCAUUCAGGAGGCUGCCACCUCCAAGGGCAGAGUGUCGCAGCGAAGGGGAAUGCAGAUGUGGGCUGCUUCUCCCUGUGGGCUGCGGCCACGGCUGGGGCAGGACUGGCCAGGCCCCACACUCAGGACUCCAUCUGUCCCAGGAAGCCCAGACGCCCCUCCCUCCCUCAUUUCAACACAGAUAAUGCCCACAGCGACUUUCUGAGCAUUAAGGGAGGAAGGGAUGGACAGGAGUCUGUAACAGAGUGAGCAAUAAUGAUGUCCACUGAACACCUAGCGGGUGCCAGGCAUGCCUUUAGUUCUCCCACCCCUCCUAUGGGAAAGCCACAGUUAGCUCCAUUUUUACAGUUGGGAAAACCAAGACCCACUGAGGGAACAACUUCACAGGGGAGCACCCAGUCAAUCAGUAGGAGCCUGGGACUUCAGAGUGGACCUGACAACAGCUCUGGAGUCAGCAGAAUCCAGUUCCAAACCUGCAUUUGCUGGCCAUGGGACCUAGGGCAGGUGACUGGCCCUCCCUGAGCCUCAGUUUUCUUAUCUGUCAAAUGGGGCUAGUUCCAGACUCACCUCACUGGCUAGUGGGUGCUGGGGGAGAGUCUGCCUCCUGCAUUUGGCUGGGCAGUCCCUGGAGGGACUGACUUAUAUCUACAGUAGAUGCUUAGGGUCCACUGAGAACCCUGGAUCAUGGAAUCAGAAGUCUGGGCUGGUGUCCCACCCCUGCCUCCCCCACCACCAUCACCACCUCCACCCACCACUUGAAGAGCAAGUACUAUGGGCCUUACAGUGCAGAGUCUUCGCUGACUCUUCACCAACUCCACGACGCGCCUGCCCUUCAUGCCCUCUGACAGAUGAGAAACUAAGGCUCACAUUAAGUGGCUGCCCAAGGUUACCUGCAGCAUGUAGCAAAGCUGGGCGUCAAGCCCAUGUGACAUGAGUCCAGUCAGGGCCCCAGCAGCUCACCACACUGCGGUUGCCACAAUGGAGCCCCCGCCCCCCACCUUCCCUCUGCGCUCCUCAUGGCUUCCAAGAGGCGGCCGUGGCCAUCUGCUCUCCUGUCUCCCUGUAGCAACAUUAAAUCCCACUCAGAGGGCUGUUUUUAAUUGGCUUAAUAUACUCGUUAAUAACUGCGGCUAUUUAACGCACCUGUAAAAGGCCCAUAACGUUAACUUAAUGGCAGCGAUGGUGAUGCCAGCCAGCCUUUUAAAUUUCCCUACAAGGCUUUAAUAGGGGGCCUCGUGGGCUGGGGAGGGGGCAGGGGAAGGGGCGGCCCAGUACACAGGGUGGGCGCCUCGCUUCUGCCCACUGGAGCCUAGUUUCUGUCCGGUGGCCGCUCCUGCCACUGCUCAAAGCCUCUGGGCAGGGGUUUCUCUAGACUCUGCGCUGUCAUUCAUGCCUUGUUUCAUGAGCGCCUACUGUAUACCAAGUGUUAUUUUAUGCAUCAGAGUGGUGAGAAAGAUCAGGACUUGCCUCCAAAGGCAUCCAAAUUUUGCCAAGGAGGCAAGUCAACAGAUGGCUACAUCAUGGAGGGGGGUGCCGCAUAUCAGGGAAGGCUGCCUGGAGGAGGCAGCAUCUCAGCUGACACCGGAAGGGUCAGGAGAGCCCGUAGACCAGGGAGUGUGCAAGCACACCCAUACUUCACUCACCCAGCAAUAGUUCAAGCCCUGCUGUGUGCUGGGCCCUGCUGGGCACUGGAGCACGAUGGUGAGCAAACACACGGCCCUGCCCACAUGGGUCAUCCCACUCUGUCCCAUAGCCACCACAGAGCUUCAAGCGUUCAACUACUAAACAAAAGUCUGGUGGUUCAAAUACACCCAGAGACACCUCAGGAGUAAGAUCUGGAGAUCUGCUUCCAAGAGGUCACGGCCUUGAAAACCCCUAUAAGAAAAACCCAAACCAAACCAAACCCAUUGCCACGGAGUUGGUUCCAACUGAAGGCAACCCUAUAGGGCAGAGUAGAGCUGCCCCACUGAGUUUCCAAGGAGCACCUGGUGGAGCUGGGCUGUCGACCUUUUGAUUAGCAGCCAUAAUACUUAAUCACUGUGCCACCAGGAAAACCCCUACGGAGCAGUUCUGUUCUGCCAACGCACAGAGUCACCGCGAGUCGGAAUCCACCCUACGGCAACCAACAACAACCACACGACCCACAGUCGCCGCUCUGGGUCAGGUUCUGGGGGCCCAGGCUCUGCCUCUGGCGUGGGGCAGACAGAUGUAGGCCAGACGCAAGCGUAAAGCGAGGCUGCAUCCCAGCCGGACCCUAGAGGACCAGUGGGACGGCGUUCAGCGAGGGAGGGCCCGUCAGCCUGAGAGACACAGCCCGAGCUACGGCCAGCGACUGACUGCGGGGGCCUGGGGUAGAUAUCCGGGCUCCCAAGUCCUUUCUCCGCCAUCAGAGUCUCAAACUGGCAGCCCUUAGGCCGCACUGCCCACCAUGUGCGUAGCCUGGCCUGCUCAGUGUUUUCACGUUUGUGAACGUCUUUGGGCAGCCACAGCCUCCCCUGCCCAGGCCUUCAGUCUCAUUCCCAGCCCGUCAGCUGGGAAUUCUGCAGCCUGCACCUGACAUACUGCUGGGCUUUGAAUGUCUGACUUCCCCAUCUGAAGCCCAGGCCACCUCCCAAGGCUGCCAUGAGGAUGACGGAAGGGCGAGGGUUUGGCACAAUGCCUGGCUCAGAGUGAGCGCACGACAGCAGGGGACUGUUGGGGGCCGGGGGGACACUGUGUGUGUGUCCAGGGGCCUGUGGAAGGGAGGGGCUGCAGAGGGAGGCCUGGGCCAGGUGGCCAGGGUCUCAAAUGCCAUUCUGAGCAGCUCAGACUUCAUACAAACAGGCUCAAUGGAGGGUUUCAUAGAGAGGCAGCUGGGAGCUCGGAGGUGGUAGAGGGAAAUUAAUGAAAUCAUCACUGCCAACGCCACCAUGGCACCCACCGAGGCUGGUACCAAGCCAGCCCUCACAACCCACCAAGGUCAGCAGCAGCCACGUCAUCUCCAUUUUACAGAAGAGCACACCGAGGCUCAGAGAGGGACAGCCAGCUGAGACCACGGUCAGUGUGCGGCAGAGGCAGGAUUUGAACCCAGGCCAGUGACUGCAGAGCCCACCUUCACCUCGCCCAAAACCCUGCUGCCAUCUCAAAGGGCUGGGAACCCCCACCUGUGCUCUGCCCACUAGGGGAACCAGCAGCCAUGGGAUGUGGCGGCUGCCCAAGGCCAGGGGGAUGGGAGGACGCUCGGAAGGGCUGUGUGAUGCAGCUGUCAUGGGCACUGCAGGCUCACGACGGACCCUAGGAGAGCUGGGAGCUGUGCACCGUGCCCCCAGCUAAAGCACUAGGCGGUCAUCGGUGGGUCCCAUAGCCCACCUCUCCUCCUAGGGUGGCCACUGUGUGCCUCUGGGGCCUUUGCCCUCAAGCCUUCAGAGGAGGGAAGGAGGGAGACGGAGUCGGCCAAGACAGUGCUGUGUAGCUGUGCUGUAACCGCCUCUCUUCACACACCUGGACCGUGAACAGUUCCCCAUAGUGCUGGUCUGCUAAAACCUGAUUUUAAUGCCUAGGAAGUUCUGUCUUUGCUGAGGGCCUCCUGUGUGCCAGGCCCUGUGCCGCCAGCCCUGCCCGUGGCAACCGCCUCUGGGUGUGCUGCAAGGGAUUUAAACCACCCCCUCGUGUGGGCAGUCGGGCAUUCCCAGGGUUUCAUUCAUCCUGAUGCCCCCCUUCCUGUCCCUGUGCAUUUUCCACCGGCAGCCUGAGGGUCCUGUUAAAACCCAGCUUGCAUCUGGUCCCUGCAACACAGAGUAAAAGGCUUGGUGCUCAGAGUGGCCCCCAAGGCCCCAGAGGGUGUGCACUGCACCACCCCCCGCCCCACCUGUCUUCUGCCACUCUGCCAGGACCGCUAACAACACAAACCCCAAUUGCUUCUCCGGAUGCACACACACACCCCCGCCCCAGCCUUCGCACUUGCUGUUCCCUCCUCCUAGACCGGUCCUUCAUCAGUAUCCACAUGGCUGACGCCUCCCCUCCUUCCCAUCUUUACUCUAAAUCCACUUUCCCUGACUCUGUGUCCCAGCUAGUUGCCCCUCCUCCUGUCACUCUCAGCCCCCCAACCCUGCCAUUCCCACUACUGUGUUGUUGGUGGUUGCAGUCAAGCCGGUUCUGACUCAUGGUAACCCCACGAGCAAGAUGGCCCUGGUUCUGCACCAUCUUCAACAUCGUUGUUGCGGCCACUGUGUAUUUUGAGUGCCUUCCAACCUAGGGGGCUCAUCUUCCAGAACUAUAUCAGACAAUAUUCUGUUGUGACCCAUAGGGUUCUCAAUGGCUAAUCUUCAGAAGUAUAUCACCAGGCCUUUCUUCCUAGUCUUAGUCUGGAAGCUCCACUGAAACCUGUCAACCAUGAGUGACCCUGCUGGUAUUUGAAAUGCCAGUGGCAUCGCUUCCAGUGUCACAGCAACACCCAAGCCACCACCGUAUGACAGACUGACAGACGAGCGAUGGCCAGUUACUGUGGCUGCAUUAAUAAACUGCCCCAAAACUUAGUGGCACGAAACAACUAUUAUGCUCAGGAAUUUGGAGACAGAAAAGUAGGGAGGGAUUCUCUCUGUUCCAUGAUGUUGAGGGUGGGGAGGUGAGCUGGAAGGCUGGGGGCUGGGAGCUUCUGAAGGUUUGUUCUUCUCACACCCGAUGGAUGAUGCUGGCAGUGGGCUGAGACCUUAGCUGGGCCGCACAUGGCCUCUCCACAUAACUUGGGCUUCUUCAAAACAUGGCGGCUGGGUUUCAAGGAUGGACCUCUAGAGAUAGCUCUCUAAGGGGACGCCAUAUUGCCUUUUACAAUCUAGCCAUGAGCGUCACAGUGUUAAUUCUGCUACAUUCUCUUCAUUACGAUUGAGUUGCUGAGUGGGCAGAAAAUUAGAAAGCACAAUUUGGAGGAGGAGUGCCAGAUAAUUUGUGAGCGUGUUUUAAAGUGACCACACCUGCUUUAUCCUUGUUUGUGGCACUUGUCAUGGUCUGACACAUUAUGUAUUUGUUUAUUGCCUCACCCUACUAGAAUGCCAAGGAGCCCUGGUGCCACAGUGGUUAAAGCACUUGGCUACUAACUGAAAGGUCAGUGGUUCGAACCCAGCAGCUGCUCCACAGGAGAAAGACGUGGAUUCUCUGCUUCUGUAAAGAUUACAGCCUUGGAAACCCUAAGGGGCAGUUCUGUUCUGUCCUGUAGGGUCGCUGUGAGUUGGAAUUGACUCAAUGGCACAGAACUAGAAUGUCAGCACCAUGUGGGCAGGGACUCUUGUUGGUUUUGGUUGCUGCCAUAUCUCCAAUGCCCAGCACUGUGCCUGCAAACAGGAGGGACUCAGUAAACACUGGGUGGAUAUAGGGCUGGAUGGAGGCUUCCAGAAGGCAGCUCUCCAUGGGGUCCUCCCAGGACUGACCAUCCCAUGUGUCAUGACCAGCAGUGAACAGGGGCUCCCAAGCAAGACAGCCUAUCUGGCCAUGGCCUCUUGCUCAUUCGCCCCGAUGCUCUUCAGCACCCACCACAUGUCCUGUUGGCUGUGGGAUGCAGCAGUGGACAAUUCGGGUCCUGGAGCCCAGGCUGGUGGGGGAGCAGGACGAGCCAUGGCAGUCAGAAUAUGCUGCGGAGUACGCGGUGAUGGGGGAGUCCAAGCCCUGAUGGAAACCCAGUGAUGGGGGAGCCCAGGCCCCGAUGGAACCCAGUGAUGGGGGAGCCCAGGCGCCAACAGAAACCCGGUGAUGGGGGACCCCAGGCGAUGGAAACCCAGUGAUGGGGGCGUCCAGGCCCUGAUGGAAACCCCUUGAUGGGAGAGUCCAGGCCCCGAUGGAAACUCAAGUGGGGAUCCCUUACCCAGCCAGGAGACAGGGAAGGUUUCUGGGAGGCAGUGGCAUUGCAGCUGGGCGCUGGGGCUCCCCAAAGGGCCAUCUGGCCCCCUCACACCCCAUUUUCAGUCCGUGAGUACUGUCCCCCAUCCCUGCCACUUGCUGGGGCUGGGGGACGGGUCUGCCAAGAAGCCACCCAAACAGCUGGCCCAUCCUGGUUCCUCCAAGUGGGAAAUGCUCAGGGGAGCCUUGCUCUGUGUUGUUACCUUGUCAAAAUGCAACUGUGCAAUUGUACCAAGUGGUAGUGGCUCCAGGGGAGGUAGUGGCACAUUUACCUAGCUGUGGUGGGGGCCCUGCCUGGCGUAAGUAGAGGUUGGCUGGGUCUGCAGGGAGCCUAGAGCCACCUCCACCCCACUCUGGUGAAAAGGCUGGGUCUGAAGCACCCUGGGGGUGGGCUCAGGAGAAAGUCCUUCGGGGAACAAGGUAUAAAGCAGGAGCUACAAACUCCAGGCUUACAGGGGCCAGAGGGGCGCCAUAAACCAGGCCAGGUCUGAGACUGGACUGUGGUGAGCCAGAGGGUCCAUGCUCCACUUGGAGGCAGUCACAUCCCAAAAGCUGUAGAGUGCUGAGCAGGCCCCAUCCAACCCAUGGCUCCAGGCACCACUCGCUCAGGGCUGCCAGGUGACAACAUCUGGGAGCAAAGCAAGAGCUGAGGGCAGGAGAGCUGCCUGGCCCUGUGGCCUCUGAUGGGCCAUGCCACCUCCUCUCUGAGCCUCCUGCCUGACUUUAUGGUCCUUCCUGGGAUUUUCCUCCACAAUCAACACCCACGGAAGCAGCAGUCAGGAAAUCAAAAGGCACACUGCAUUGGGCAAAUCAGCUGUAAGAGAGCUCUUUAAAGUGUUAAAAAGCCAAGAUGUUACCCUGAGGACUAAGUUGUGCCCUGAUCCAAGCAAUUGUGUUUUCAAUCACCUCAUAUGCAUGCAACAGCUGGACAAUGAAUAAGGAAGACCAAAGAAGAAUUGACACCUCUGAGUUGUGGUGUUGGUGAAGAAUAUUGAAUAUACCAUGGACCACCAAAAGAAGGAACAAAUCUGUCUUGGGAGAAGUACAACCAGGAUGCUCCUUAGAAGCAAGGAUGGGGAGACUGCAUCUCACAUACUUCAGACAUGUUGUCAGGAGGGGUCAGUUCCUGGAGAAGGACAUCAUGCUUGGUAAAGUACAGGGUCAUCAGGGAAAGAGGAAGACACUCAACGAGACAGACUGACACAGUGGCCAUAACAAUCGGCUCAAGCAUAGUAAUGAUUGUGAGGAUGGCACAGGACCGGGCAGUGUUUUGUUCUGUUGUGCGUAGAGUCGCUACGAGUCAGAACCGACUCAACAGCACCUAACAACGACAAUCAAUUGGAAGAGUCCCUGGGUGGUGCAAAUGGUUAACACACUCAGCUGCCAUCCAAAGGCUGGAGGUUCAAGUCCACCCAGAGGUGCCUUGAAAGAAAGAUUUGGCAGUCUACUUCCAAGGGAUCAGCCACUGAAAACUCUGUGAAGUUGUACUCUGACACACGUGGGAUCACCAUGAGUUGGAAUCAGCUUGCCAGCAACUGGUUUUUAAUUCUAAGGAAAAAGAGGGAGAGCUUCAGGAGUCUCCUGGCUUCAGCUGAGUCCUGCCUUGGGUGGGUUAAGAUAAAUUGGGAGGCAGAUGGACAGGGUCCACAUCCCAGCUCUGCCCCUUGCUGGUUGUGUGACCACAGGAAGCUCUUCACCUGUAAGAUGGGGACCUGUAUCAGUUAUUUCUUGCUGUGUAACUUAGUGGCUCCAUAACUUAGUGGCUUAAAACAUCAACAGUCAUUUAUUCUCGCUCCUGGUUUCUGUGUGUCAGGAAUUUGGGAGUGGCUCAGCUGGGUAGUUCUGUUCCAUGUCUCUCAUGAGGCUGCAGUCAGGAUGUUGGCCAGGGAGGGCUGCACUCAUCUGAAAGCUUGACUGGGAAUGGAGGAUCCACUUCCAGGAAGGCUCACAUAGCUACUAGCUAGAGACCUCAGUUCUUCACUGGCUGCUUGUAGGAGGCCUCAGUUCCUCCCACAUGGGCCUCUCCCUGGGCUGCUUGAGUAUCCUCACAACAUGGCGGCUGCUUCCCCAGAGGGAGCAAUCCAAGAGUGAGCGAGGAGGGCACCACAGUAUCUUUUAUGACCUAGCUGCAGAAGUCACACACUGUCACUUCCAGAAUACUGGUUACACAGGCCAGCCCUAUUCAUUGUGGGAGGGGGCUAACAAAGGUGUGAAAACCAGAAGGCAACGAUCAUCAUGAGGAAAGGUGGUCGACAUCUUGGAGGCUGGCUACCAAAUGCUAUCAUCUAUCUGGGGAGCCCACCAUUACCACUCACCUCUCAGAGGUGUUAGAUGCUCCAAACGAGAGGCGUCAAGAAAGGCAGCGGGCACAGAGCCUGGUUCAUACUAAGCACUCAGCAAUGGCGGCCUCUACGACACCACCAUUGGCUCCAACAAAAGCAGAGGGACCAGUCACCCUCACUGAGGCCUGCUCACCAGACGGGGCGAAGAGGGGCCCCUUCUUUCAAUGAACAGGGACUAAGAAGAGGCAUCCCUCUUUCUUUUCCUUAAGAUUUUAAACACCUAAUUUAUUCCAUCCAUUAGAUAGAUUUUGUAGAUUUAAUCAUUUUCACAGUUGGUGGCUCAUUGGAUAUUCAAGAUAAACUCCAAAUGAAAGUAUAAUGGUGAGGACAAAUGAGUUUUCACACCACAAUGGCAGAAACUUGCUUGGGAAGAGAGUUUAAGAGGAACGAAAAUACAUACAGAUACAAUUUUUUUUUCCCCUGGCAGCCGCCGCUUUUGCUGACUAUAGUAGGUUACCACAGUUAAUUUCACCAGUUUUGUUCAUCUGUAAAAUUGCAUAAAAGUGACAUUUUUGUGCUCAUUAUAGCAACUGCUGAUUUACGGCUGGUAAAUGAAGAGCCGGGCCCUUUUUUGUGGGACUCUCCGAGCGGUGCUAAGUGCCCAUGAAAUUGCUUGUAUAAUGUAGUUUAAAUCCAAUCUCGGAGAAAGAUUCCCCCGUUGGCUAAAGUGACAUUUCCAUUCUCCACACCGAGUUUAUUUUAGGCCGCUAAGGAGGGGGUUGCCCCAGGAUGGGGGCCUGGGGUCAGCUCCACCUGCCCAGCCCAGGUGGGGACAGAGGGACACUGCCCCAGCCCCCCCUCCCUCCCCCACCGGGGCGCUUGGCUGGGCUGCUCAGUUCAUCCCUCCCUGAGCCCAGGCAGGCUGGAUCCCUCUCCUCGGGGCAGCCAGAAUGAUCUUUCUAAACUGCAGGCCUGUCUGCCCUGGCCCUCCCCUGCUUAAAACCUUUCGUGGCUGUGCGACACCCCAGGGCAGAGUUCUCUACCUGGGCACUGCUGACAUUUAGGGCAGACAGUCCUUUGUGAGGACUCUCUGAGUGGACACAAAUGGUUACGCACUUGACAACUAGCCAAAAGGUUGGCAGUUUGAACCCUGAGACACCUCAGAAGACAGGCCUGGUAAUCUGCUUCCAAAGGUCACGGCCUUGAAAACCCUAUGGGGCAGUUCUACUCUGACACAUGGGUCACUUUGAGUCAGAAUCGACUGGACGGCAACUAACAGCGCAACAAUCCUUUGCGUGGGGGGACCAGCAUCCCUGGUCUCUACCCACUCGAUCCCAGUAGCAUCCCUACCCUUAGUUAUGACAACCGAACGUGUCUCCAGACAUUGCCUGGUGUCCCCUGGGGGCAGAACCACCCCUGACUGACCUUAGGUGAAGCCAAGCCCCUCGCACGGCUCACUCCUGCCCCCUGAGCCGCCCUCGCCCUCUGCCCUCUGCACACCUGCUCCUAGCCUCCUGCUAGCUCUGAGGUAUUGCCCCUUCCCACCCGGGCCUGCUUCCUCGCCCCUGCGCCUUUACCGUGUGCCCUUUUCUCUUCCUGAAAUAUGCCUGUCUCCUCCCUCGCCCUUAUGCUACAGCCCCAGGACUUCACGUGGAGGCUGUUUCUUCCAGAAAGCUGUCUCGGUAGCCCGGGCUGGGAUAGACUCUCCCGGGUUCCGUGCUGACCCUGCUGCCCCAUCGCAGUAUGAAUUUGCUCUGAUUGGCUGCUGGAUCCUGGUGCGGGGGUUCUGGGGUGAGGCUCUGAGAUGAGGGGACGUGGCUGUGUGGCUUCUGCCUAGUAGGGAGAUCAGAGAAGGUAAGGGGUCUGCAUUUGACUCCCAGCAGAACACCAGACCCACCUGUGCCCAUUGGAGGGGCCACCUGAGUCCUCUGUCCCUUCUCUCCCAGGAAGGCUCUUGCCCAGGAGGGCGUGAACACUCACACAGAGCACCUGCUCCUGCUAGCCUGCCCCACCAUCAUGACUUAGCAGGUCCUCACAGCCACCCUGGACCCUGGAAGGUAGUGUGAGCAGCAGCAGUAUUCCCAUUUUACAGAUGAGGAAACUGAGCCUCAGAGUGAAGCCACUUUCCCAAGGUCCCCCCCAGGAGUCACUAGACUCAGAUGAGCUAAUGUGCCCAGGACCACAAAAAGAAAAAAAAAAAGCAGUUGCCAUCAAGUCAAUUCCAACUUAUGGUGACCGCAUGUGUGUCAGAGUAGAACCGUACUCCACAGGGUGUUCAUUGGCUUAUUUUCAGAAGCAGAUCACCAGGCCUUUCUCCUGAGGAGCCUCCAGGUGGACUUGAACCACCCUUUCGGUUAACUGUUCCACCCAAGGACUCUGCCCAGGGCCACACAGCCCCACAACCUGUACUCAAUCCAGGCCUGGCCAGCUCCAAAGCCCCCCUCCCGUCCACCCCAAAGGGCCCUGGGAGGCACUGGUCUGAGGACCAGAGGAGGUUCUGGAUGGGAGCAACGGUCUGCCUGUCAGUGACCCACCUGCCCUGUGGCAGGGCCCAGUUAUGCCCACUAACAGUGGGGACAGUCAGCCUGUCACACAGAUUACACCCUUCAGCUCUCUGCUGACAGCUCACACACACACACAAAAAAAGGCAGUGGCAGCCACACUGGCCCUGCAGCUGACAGGCAGACUCUGGGGGGAGGUGGG
Molecule: RNA transcript, 21666 nt
Organism: Loxodonta africana (African savanna elephant)
Lineage: Eukaryota; Metazoa; Chordata; Mammalia; Proboscidea; Elephantidae
Gene: FAM222A
Gene name: family with sequence similarity 222 member A
Exons: 3
Source: RefSeq, a predicted model, not a curated record